Molecule: unclassified non-coding RNA, 408 nt
Filed under: soil metagenome
Description: partial contains 5.8S ribosomal RNA, internal transcribed spacer 2, and large subunit ribosomal RNA
Rfam family: 5.8S ribosomal RNA (bases 1-120)
Source: RNAcentral
GAUGAAGAACGUAGCGAAAUGCGAUAAGUAAUGUGAAUUGCAGAAUUCAGUGAAUCAUCGAAUCUUUGAACGCACCUUGCGCUCCUUGGCAUUCCGAGGAGCAUGCCUGUUUGAGUGUCAUUAAAUUCUCAAGACCUGUCUGCUUUUUUGAUAGGUAUUGGAUUUUGGGGGUUGCAGGCUGUUUCAAAUAAAUAGCCUUGCUCUCCUUGAAUGUAUUAGUGGAGAAAAGCCAUUGAACUCCAUUGGUGUGAUAAAACCUAUCAAUGCCAGGAGCAAUAUCACUACUUCUCUCUGCUGUCUAACUGUGACUGUCUGUAUUAAUUAGUAUGGAUGGGGACAACUUGACCAACUUGACCUCAAAUCAGGUAGGACUACCCGCUGAACUUAAGCAUAUCAAUAACCGGAGGA